RNAcentral lists this ribosomal RNA (396 nucleotides) under Triticum aestivum (bread wheat). Its description in RNAcentral is "partial small subunit ribosomal RNA". Lineage: Eukaryota; Viridiplantae; Streptophyta; Magnoliopsida; Poales; Poaceae. The record is from RNAcentral.
AUGUCGCCGCCACCCGCCAGGUGGAAGGGCACGUGCACGGGCUUGGUCAGGCCCGUCCGGUGCAACAACAAGCUCAUCGGCGUCAGGUCCUUCGUGGACUACAGCCCUGAUGACGAGACCGGCCACGGCACGCACGUGGCGUCGAUUGCGGCGGGCAACUUCGUCGCCAAUGCCUCGUCAUCCCACGGACAGGCCACUGGGACGGCCGCCGGGAUCGCUCCCGGCGCACACUUGGCCAUGUACAAGGCCUGCAGGCCCACUGGGUGCCUCCGUUCGAACGUAGUUCACGCGAUUGACACGGCGGUGGGCGACGGGGUCGAUGUGAUCAACAUCUCCCUCGUCCGUGAGUGGCCAUUGGCGCAUUCCGCGCGGUGGCCAAGGGCGUCGUCUUCGUGA